This 494-nucleotide ribosomal RNA is filed under the name uncultured bacterium. RNAcentral describes it as "partial 16S ribosomal RNA". It matches the Rfam family "Bacterial small subunit ribosomal RNA", at positions 28 to 507 of the family's 1533-position model. The record is from RNAcentral.
GACGAACGCUGGCGGCGUGCUUAACACAUGCAAGUCGAACGGUGAAGCGCUUUCCUUUUUGGUGGGCGUGGAGGAGUGGCGAACGGGUGAGUAAAACGAGAGUAACCUGCUUCCUCCUUCUGGAUAACGGAAUGAAAGUGUGGCUAAUACGGGAUAUUACGGGCCUGUGGAAGGAUGGGUCUGGGGGAGCUUUCGUUUCGGUGGGGGAUGGGCUCGCGGCCUAUCGGCUUGUUGGUGUGGUGAUGACCUACGAAGGCGCUGACGAGUAGCCGGCCUGGGAUGGUGGGCCGCCCCACAGGGGCUGAAACGCGGCCAAUACUCCUACAGGAGGCAGCAGGGGGUAUUAUUGCACGAUGGGCACAAUGCUGAUGCAGCGACGCCGCGGGAAAGAAGGAGUCCUUCUGGUUAUGAACCUCUUUCGCCAAUGAAGCGGGCCUGCCUCGUUUGUGGGUGUGUUGACGGUAGCUGGAUAAGAAGCGCCGGCUAACUACGUG